This is a long non-coding RNA of Oncorhynchus kisutch (coho salmon), 1691 nucleotides long. The record is from Ensembl. Lineage: Eukaryota; Metazoa; Chordata; Actinopteri; Salmoniformes; Salmonidae.
AGCACAACCAAAAUGUUCGACGUCUGUAUUCUAACGUUGGCUAGAUAGCUAAGCUAAUGUUAGCUGAAGACAGUGGGAUCGAGUGACUAGACUUAUUGAAUGGCCGGGGAGCUCAUUGCAUGGUGUUUUCGGUUGUCCAAUGAAAGCGUUCUGUUCACUAGUAUGCGAUAUUCUUCACGUUAUCCCAGUUGGAAUGAUCCAAAUUCAUGGGGAAAAUGAAGCGUAGUUUAAAACUGCAAAUAUUCUAAAGUGGUCUGAAUAGGCCCUCUCAGAUUUUCCGUCAACACACAAAGGACCCCAGUACGCGUGGACCGUUUAUGUUUUUGAAAAUAUUUGUUUUUACCUUUCUGUAAUCACUUAAUUUUCAAUAUGGGGACAAUAUCGACAAAAAAUAUGGUGUUUUUUCUUAGUCACCAUAAUUCGAAUUUUAAUGCGUGAGAUGUUGUAUUUACUAAUCUUGAAAAAAUAUUUGAAGCAGGCAGUUACUUGGAUAACGAAUACCGGUGACGCCAGCAAACAACCGUUGGGGCAAAUGCGCCAUUUUGGCUCAAACAGUCGGAAUUUACUUUCUUUGCAAUUUAAUAUUUUUUCGGCAUCGCUUAAUAUUUUUGUUAAUGGUUGGGAUGAGAUCAUGUUUCACCACAUUCUGUAUUUGGUGUUUUGUUUCCUAUGAGAACAAGUGUAACGUUCUGGUAGCAUUAGCCUCACCAAGCUACAUGCUAGUUAGCUGUGUCGUUCGAUUGCAUUGCCAACAACACUGGCUGAUGGUUAGCUUGCUAGCUAUAUUUAGCUGUUUUGACUUGUUAGCUCGCUAGAUAUGGGUGGGUGCUCCGCUCCAAAUUGCUCAAACUCAACAACAAUUGGGAAGCAACUGUUUCGUUUUCCAAAAGAGCCUAUACGUAAGAAGAAAUGGCUUGUAAACUGCCGGCGUAAUUUUUUACCAACUCCACAUUCCAGACUGUGUCAGGACCAUUUUGAGCUGAGUCAGUUUGAAGAAAUCGCCAGGUCGCCAGCAGGGGGAAAGAAGCUGAAACCAAAUGCCGUCCCCACUCUUUUCAAUGUGCGAGAUCCACCUUUUCCCGUAAACCCACAGAUAGUGCUACCACUCAAGCCAGAGCCAGUGGAGAGGGAUCUCAAUGUGGGGGAUCAUGGCUACGCACGACGGAAAACGACUCUGGGCAUGGAGGAAGAUGAUGCUGAUGAACUACACAAGGCAGAGGAACGUCCCUGCAUCCAUUGUCAACAUUACAGAACACUGCUGGAACAAGAAAUGCAACACACAGCCAGAUUACAGAAAGAGGUAGAGGAAAUGAAAAAGCGGAUGUUCAGACUGGACAGAAUAGAGAGGGGCCUCCAGACAUUUCUGUAUGAAGACCAGAUCCGCGCCCUGACACUGACCAAGCGUUCCCGGAGAGCUGUGUGGUCCCACGAGACAGUGCUGAAGGCCCGUGAGGUUGGGAGAAGAUGAUGCAGGGUCUCUUUACUCUGAGGCUGUGUGCUGCUCUGCCAGGGCUCCUAUGGGCAUCGCCUCUGUUAGUAGAAGGGGACAAUGAUGCCUCCAAGAUCUGUAAGCCGGCACCGCGCUGUGAGAUCAAGGGCCAUGGGGCCCCCAUGAAGGGGCUGCUUGGAAAUGUAGUUGUUCUGGCUCUACUGAAAGCCUGCUGACACUUCUGCCUCACACAGGCCUCCAA